AUGGGGACGGCGAUGGGAACGGGGACGGGGACUGGGACGGGGACUGGGACGGGGCCGGGGACGGGGCCGGGGACGGGGCCGGGGACGCGCGCGAGCUAUUACCAGAGUUUUGGUCCCGUUCUUGCUGAGGGGGCCCCGGAAAACUCCCUUGAUGUUGCGAAAGUGUCCGUUGCGGAGCCGCGUGGAGCUGAUGACAAUGUAGUAACACUCCAUGGGGCCCCGCCGCCUCCCGCCCGGCGCUGGGGCCCCGCCGCCGCCGCCGCCGCCCCGCACGCCGGGGGCCACGCUCACUCCGCCCCGCGGCCGCGCGCGCCGCCCCCCGCCGCCCCCGCGCCCGCGCCCGCGCCCGCGCCCGCCCCCGCGCCCGCCCCCGCAUGCCCCCCGCCCCCGCCCCCCGCCGGCCGCAGGGCCCCGAGCGCGUCAGUGGCGGCGGCAGUGGCGGCGGCGGCGGCCCGGGAGUCGCGGCGGCCGGCGGGCAUGAGGGCUGUUAUAGUGCGCGGCGUCGCCGGUCCGCCGCACCGAGCCAAUGGCAGGGAGCCACUGGGCUGGCACGGGGAGCUGUCACGGCCGCGCAGCUGGCGCCCGCCCCCGCCCCCGCCAGGGGGAGCGCCCCGGGAGCCGCCGAGCCGCGGCCGCCGCCGCCCGCCCGCCCCCCGGGAGCCCGGGACUCCGGCGAGGUGGGGCGGGGACGGGGAGGGCGGGGGCCUGCAGGGGGCGGGGGACGGGGGCGCGGGACUCCGGCGAGGUGGGGGCGGGGGCGGGGGCGGGGGGUGCAGGGGGUCGCAAGUUGGGGGGCCGGAGGGGCGGGGACGCCUGCGAGGUGGGGGCGAGAGGCGGAGGGGCGGGGAGGGCAGGGGCAGGGGACGGGGAGGGGCGGGGGACUCCUGCGAGGUGGAGCAGGGGCGGGGGCCGAGGGGCAGGGGGCGGAGGGGAGCGGCUGGGUCCCCGCAGCUGCCCGCUGGUCCCCGCAGGUGCGCGCAGGUGCACGCAGGUCCCCGCAGGUGCCCGCAGCGCUGCCCCCCGCCCCCUCCCCUCCCCUCCCCUCCCCUCCCCUCCCCGCCCCCCGCGCACUGGGCUUCUUGCAUCGCGUUAGUUUGCCGCGUGUUUGGGGUCCGCGGGCUGGACCCGGUUCAGCGUCUCAGAGAAGGGGAGCGCCCCGCACCCGCACCCCGCGCCGCCCCCGGCCGCAGAGAUCACAAGCGUUUGCGCUGA
This 1212-nucleotide long non-coding RNA is filed under the name Canis lupus familiaris (dog). Its description in RNAcentral is "lncRNA (ENSCAFG00040023073.1)". Lineage: Eukaryota; Metazoa; Chordata; Mammalia; Carnivora; Canidae. The record is from RNAcentral.